UACCGCAUAAGCCCACGGGUCGGCAUCGACCAGAGGGAAAAGGAGCAAUCCGCUUUGAGAUGGCCUCGCGCCCGAUUAGCUAGUUGGUGAGGUAACGGCCCACCAAGGCGACGAUCGGUAGCCGGACUGAGAGGUUGAACGGCCACAUUGGGACUGAGACACGGCCCAGACUCCUACGGGAGGCAGCAGUGGGGAAUAUUGCACAAUGGGGGAAACCCUGAUGCAGCGACGCCGCGUGGAGGAAGAAGGUCUUCGGAUUGUAAACUCCUGUUGUUGAGGAAGAUAAUGACGGUACUCAACAAGGAAGUGACGGCUAACUACGUGCCAGCAGCCGCGGUAAAACGUAGGUCACAAGCGUUGUCCGGAAUUACUGGGUGUAAAGGGAGCGCAGGCGGGAAGACAAGUUGGAAGUGAAAUCCAUGGGCUUAACCCAUGAACUGCUUUCAAAACUGUUUUUCUUGAGUAGUGCAGAGGUAGGCGGAAUUCCCGGUGUAGCGGUGGAAUGCGUAGAUAUCGGGAGGAACACCAGUGGCGAAGGCGGCCUACUGGGCACCAACUGACGCUGAGGCUCGAAAGUGUGGGUAGCAAACAGGAUAGAUACCCUGGUAGUCCACACCGUAAACGAUGAUUACUAGGUGUUGGAGGAUUGACCCCUUCAGUGCCGCAGUUAACACAAUAAGUAAUCCACCUGGGGAGUACGACCGCAAGGUUGAAACUCAAAGGAAUUGACGGGGGCCCGCACAAGCAGUGGAGUAUGUGGUUUAAUUCGACGCAACGCGAAGAACCUUACCAAGUCUUGACAUCCUGUGACAGACGUAGAAAUACGUUCUUCCUUCGGGACACAGAGACAGGUGGUGCAUGGUUGUCGUCAGCUCGUGUCGUGAGAUGUUGGGUUAAGUCCCGCAACGAGCGCAACCCUUAUGGUCAGUUACUACGCAAGAGGACUCUGGCCAGACUGCCGUUGACAAAACGGAGGAAGGUGGGGAUGACGUCAAAUCAUCAUGCCCUUUAUGACUUGGGCUACACACGUACUACAAUGACGUUAAACAAAGAGAAGCAAGACCGCGAGGUGGAGCAAAACUCAGAAACAACGUCCCAGUUCGGACUGCAGGCUGCAACUCGCCUGCACGAAGUCGGAAUUGCUAGUAAUCGUGGAUCAGCAUGCCACGGUGAAUACGUUCCCGGGCCUUGUACACACCGCCCGUCACACCAUGAGAGCCGGGGGGACCCGAAGUCGAUAGUCUAACCGCAAGGAGGACGCCGCCGAAGGUAAAACUGGUGAUUGGGGUGAAGUCGGAACAAGGU
RNAcentral lists this ribosomal RNA (1305 nucleotides) under metagenome. Its description in RNAcentral is "bacterial SSU rRNA". It matches the Rfam family "Bacterial small subunit ribosomal RNA", at positions 167 to 1497 of the family's 1533-position model. The record is from RNAcentral.